Molecule: ribosomal RNA, 314 nt
Filed under: uncultured eukaryote
Lineage: Eukaryota
Description: partial 18S ribosomal RNA
Rfam family: Eukaryotic small subunit ribosomal RNA
Source: RNAcentral
CCCUUAGAUGUUCUGGGCCGCACGCGCGCUACACUGACUACUUCAACGAGUUGUUUCCUUGAUCGAAAGGUCUGGGUAAUCUUUGAAAGGUAGUCGUGAUGGGGAUAGAUCCUUGCAAUUUUUGGUCUUCAACGAGGAAUUCCUAGUAAACGCAAGUCAUCAACUUGCAUUGAUUACGUCCCUGCCCUUUGUACACACCGCCCGUCGCACCUACCGAUUGAAUGGUCCGGUGAAGCCUCCGGAUUGGCGCGCACCUCGGUGCCGCCGAGAAGUUGGCUAAACCUUACCAUUUAGAGGAAGGUGAAGUCGUAACA